GACGAACGCUGGCGGCGUGCUUAACACAUGCAAGUCGAACGGAAAGGCCCUGCUUUUGCGGGGUGCUCGAGUGGCGAACGGGUGAGUAACACGUGAGUAACCUGCCCUUGACUUUGGGAUAACUUCAGGAAACAGGGGCUAAUACCGGAUAGGAGCUCCUGCUGCAUGGUGGUGGUUGGAAAGAUUCGGCGGUUGGGGAUGGACUCGCGGCUUAUCAGCUUGUUGGUGGGGUAGUGGCUUACCAAGGCUUUGACGGGUAGCCGGCCUGGGAGGGUGACCGGCCUCAAUGGGACUGAGGUACGGCGCAGACGCCUACGGGAGGCAGCAGUGGGGAAUAUUGCGCAAUGGGCGGAAGCCUGAUGCAGCAACGCCGCGUGCGGGAUGACGUCCUUCGGGUUGUAAACCGAUUUCGCCUGUGCCGAAGCGUGAGUGACGGUAAUGGGUAAAGAAGCACCGGCUAACUACGUG
Molecule: ribosomal RNA, 468 nt
Filed under: uncultured bacterium
Lineage: Bacteria
Description: partial 16S ribosomal RNA
Rfam family: Bacterial small subunit ribosomal RNA
Source: RNAcentral